This is a long non-coding RNA of Parus major (Great Tit), 12896 nucleotides long. RefSeq lists it as uncharacterized. The record is from RefSeq and is a predicted model, not a curated record. Lineage: Eukaryota; Metazoa; Chordata; Aves; Passeriformes; Paridae. The transcript has 4 exons.
CUGCCGGGUGCGCUGGGGCCGUGGGUUCGAGGCCUGCCCCGGCGCCAUCUCUGCUCGCUGCACGGCCCGCUGUCGGGGCUCUUGGGCACCGCUGUUGCCACGGGCACUCCAGGGCACCGACUGCCUCAGGACCCGGGCCACUUCUGGUUACUCUGGGCGUGACUAGGGAAUUGGUGUGAAAACCACGUGUGGCUCAGGGCGGCUCCGUUUUAAGAAGGCUUUGUACGAGUCUGCCCUUAGGGCAGAGAGGGAUGGCUGGGUUUGAAAGCGUGUUUGUUUGUUCUUGCUGCGGCCAGUAGAUUUUCCUCCGAUUACAGAAAGCGUCAAGGAAACAUCCAGACUGGAAAAAGCCUCUAAGAUCAUUGAGUCCACCACGUUGAACACCGUGUAAACCUGGCUCUGCCACUACGUGCCACAUCCAGUCUAUCCUUAAACACCUCUGGGGAGGGUGACUCCAGCACCUCCCUGGGCAUAGGCAAUCCAUUCCAGUGUUUAAUCACUCCUCCACUGAAGAAAUUCUUCCUGAUGUCCAACCUGAACCUUCCCUGACACGGUUCGAGGCCACGUCCUCUUACUGUACUGUCUCUAACCCGUCAGAAGAUCCCGACCCCCCGGCUGCAGCCUCCUCUCAGGGAGCUGUAGAGAGCGAUGAGGGCACACCCGAGCCUCCUUCGCUCCCUCAGCUGCGCCUCACGGCACUUGUGCUCCGGACCCUUCCCCAGCUCCGUUGUCCUUCUCUGGACUCGCUCCAGCUCCUGAAAGUCCUUCCCGAAAUGAGCCCAGUACUCGAGAUGCGUCCUCCUCACGAGUGCCCAGUACAGGGGAAAAGAUCAGCCCUUGGGAAAUACAGAAUGCUGGAAAACAGAGCGUACUUCAGGGAUCACAACCAUGGGAACGUGUGCUGAAACGCUUUACUGCUGUCAGUCUGCAAUGAAGGGCUCGGGAAAACAGGAGGCUUGCAUGCAGGUGACAGUGGAAAAACAUGCACUUGAGAAGAAACUGUUGCUGUUUUAUUUUGGCACCUAACCCCAUUUGUCUUAGAGUAGAAAUGCUGAGUGAAAAAGAGCAGGUAGUAAGUUGCUUUAUUGGUAGCCAAGUUGUGUGAAACUGCCUGUCAUUAUAAUUCACAACAUUAUCUGAAGAAAGCAGAAACUGUACACAAAAGGCAAACUAUUUUGGUUUGCUGGUUUUAGGGAACCAAAUAGUUUGUUCCUAUUUUUCUUUAGGUUUGGGGGGGGGUUGUUUUGUUUUUUUUUUGUUGUUGUUUUAAUCUUUUUGCAAAUAGGCAGGAGUUGGAGCCGUUACAUAGCUGUGGUGGCUUGUAGGGAAUUGCGGCAGAGAGAAAGCACAAAUGUGACCAGAGAUACCAGAAAGGUGACCUCACACAGUACCAACCCAGCAAAGGAUGUGACUUCAUGACUCUGGGAGCAACUUCAGGCUUCUAGUCCUGUGCUCUUCUCCCGUUUUAGUAUUUAUAGAUGCAGAAGCUCCAAACUCUAUUUAGUCAAGUUCAAAGUGUAAAUGUUAUUAAGGAAACCCUGAUGUGACAGAUGAGUCUUCUUUCAGCCAUUUAUGUCGUCCUUCAGCCACCACAGGCUGCUGAAAACAUUCCGAUUGCCAAACUGCCCACAGCCAUUUAAAAUGCUCUUACAUGCUCCUGCUGGUACAAUUUUAUUAGAGAGGCUUUUCUCAUACCAGUAUAAAAAGGCUUACCCUAAACUAACAUGGUAAAACAGAAACUUGGCUACCUUAAAAGUGGGCAAACUUAUUUUAAAAUUACAAAUGAACAACUGCAGCAAGAAUAAUUUUUUAAUGGAUGCAUUACUAAGUUUUCAAUGAAAAAUCCUAUAAAAUUUCACAAUAGGCACUUUUUCUCAUUAUUGUUGCAAGCCAUUUCCUCAAAAUGUGGCAAUAUAUGCCAUAUGCAAACACUAACCAGCAAAUGCAAGACAUUAUCUGUGUUAUUUUUGGAACAAGAUAAGAUUUUUUUGAAUGAUCCAUAGCUCCAAGCUAUCAGACGGAAACUUGGCAUCAACCUCUAUAAAUAAACAGAAUGGUUAGUAAAUGAUACUCUAAAAGCAGUACUUAAGAGAGGAACAGCAAGCAUUUCUAACCUGCAAAAUGACAAUGUGCUUGUAAAAUUGCAGGAGGGGAUUCUGAGAACAAGGACCUAUGAUCUGCUACUUUAAGUCCACUGCCUAAUGUGGUUGGUUUUAUAAUGAUAUUUGCCAUUUGAUAUCAAUUAACCGAUGCCAAUGAGGUACAAAGCAAGCCUGCAGGCAAUCUAUAACUCUUCACUAGAAAACAAAAACAAAAUAAAUCAAAAAUAAAACCAAAAAAAUGGUAAAAGUGAUUAGUACAAAUCAAACAACCAGGAUAUUAGCAGCUGUGGAAUAAAGGCACAGUAACAGUGAGCUGCAACAUGGUCUUUAAGUGAGCUAUUCAUGAGAAACCUAAGCCAGAUGUGUAAUCAUUAUAAAUGCUGUUAGGGAGAAAUCUGUAAAUAGAUUUAAAACCACAGCUGAUACAAUAGGAGUAUAUAUAUGGUAGAUUAAACCGGUAUGUUCACUAAUAUUUUUAUAAUACUUCCCUGUACCAUUACUCUAUCUGGCCUGAAAGGGAUAUUUUUAUGAAGACUCUGAAGCCUGGAAAAAAACAGUACACACUUCUUUUUUUUUUUAUGUCUUGACGAAUCUGUUGAAAUUUCAUUCAGGGAGAAGGGAACUGUUAUGUGUCUUUUUGACCUCAAUUAUUUUCUGUUGUAAUUUUUGAAAAAUAAUUAUCUCUUUUAAUCGUUGCAUAGAAGUUUCAUUCUAUAGUAAAACUGUGUCAAUAAUUACUUUGGGUAAGGUCUCUGUGUAGGCCUGUAUUCAGCUUUGAAUAUCUGAAUGACUCAUUUUUGUUGAAUAUUCUUAUUAUGCACAGGCUAAACACAGAUUGACUUGAGAGUACACUGGGUUGCACAGAAGUAUUUGAGAUAAAACUUCUUAGGACUGAGAAAGCUUACCUGGGAGUUAGAAAGAAGUGAUGGGGUCGGGGCUGCCCUUAGACAUGAUCUUUUACCAGCUGCAUGAAGUGGUUGCUCUUUUAGAUCUCUAGAGUGAAAAUUAGAACACAUGAGAUAGGUUGUGAAAGUAGCUGCUGCUGAUUGAAAAUCCUGGCAACAAAAGUAACCCUACCGGGGUUAGGAGGGUCCCACAGGAUUUAUAUGACCCCAAGCAUGUGUGCCGAGCCAGGCAGUGAUGGGGAGUCCCCAGUGAGGGAAUCCACGGCAGCUGUGCAGGAGCCUCAGCCAAAAAGCCCAUUGCAGGCUGCUGCCAGAAGCUGUCCAAGGACUCUGUCCUGCAGAGGCCCUCUCAGUUGUGAGUCAAGACUGACAUUCCACAUUCCCUCACAGCAGCAGAGGGUUCCAGAAGGAACGGGGUAAAAGGAGAUUAGCUUUUCAUUCUAAUGUGAUGGCUCUUGACAUCUCUGGUCAUUUUUUUUAGGGAAAUACAGAUUUUAUUUGAAUUCUGAUUAUUCACCCAUUCUCUAUUUAUUUGAUUUGUAGCCAGAUUUUCUCCAAUGAUUAUUGCAGAGCUGUGUGUUCUUCUUUGAUGUGUGGAUGAUGUAUACAAUAGAGACCAUCAUAGAUGAUACAGAUUUCCUUUGCUUUUUGGUGUCUUCUGAGGCCAUGCUUCUCCAAUAUUAUACCAAGAAGAGCUGAGAAACUGACUUGCUGAAGACAAUGGGGAUAUUAUAAUCAGUUUUAAUAUGAUCAUAAUUUUGCUCACAAUUUUAUUAAUAUGACAGUGGGAUUUUUUUUUUUUAUUUUGGUGAUAGAGGUGGUAAAAAAGGGUUCCAUACAAUUUGCAGGACUAAGGCCCUAAAAAUGGAAAGUCAUCAUUUUAAAGCUGAAAAAUAUCUGCAAAUCAAAAGAUGGUGAAGAAUAAUGUUGCUGUACUUAUAUCCCACUAUGAUGUUGUGCUGUAUUCAAAUAUCUGAAAAAUAACUACAACUAGGUAUGCUUUGUGCCAGAGACAGAAAAUGACACUUGCCUAGCUGCUUCUCUGUUUUAAACUUCAUCCCUGACUUUCAGCUUCUGUUCAAGGACUUGAGACAGAUAAUAAAUCUGAAUUUUACAAAGUUUUUUUUAAUUCCUGGAUCACUACAAUUGACAUUGGAGUUCCCAUUUAUAUAUAUAUAUAUAUAUAUUUAUGCAUAUGGAUAUGUAAUUAUUCUAUACAUUGCAGAUAGCAUGUUCAGGACAGGAGCAGAAAGAUUUAAACCAUCAUGCAUGAAAAGCUGUGGGGCAGGCUGUACCCUGACAGAGUUGAAAUCCACAUCCACAGCCUUGUUCUAAAUCAAGCUGAGUGAAAUUAUGAACAGCAUUUGUGAUCCCAGUUGCACAUUCCUCGUGGACAGCAUUGACUAUUGCCUCCCUCAUUCCAAAUAGGAUGGAGUUCUCAAAUACUCUACUGUUAUUUAGGAGAGCAUCUGAUUUAUGGAAGGGGGCACUGGGAAGCCCAGUAUUAUCAUGGAUCUCUGUUUCAGAGUCACUCAUUUAGAGCUCUGGUGUAGAGCCAAGCUGAUGGGGGCUUCUUGUGAGACUCCUAAGUCCAGGCUUGCGUUGAUCAGAAGGGCUGGGAAGGCUGUAGCCCUGUACAGUGUGCAACACCUGGGGACACCUUCAGCCCUGUGGCUGCACAGCACUUCCAUCCACACCCUGCUGCAUCCAGAUCUCAUGUUAGUGCUGUUCUCAAAUAAUCCAAAGCCAGGCAGUAACCUCUUUGUCCAGUACACCUGUGUCUACAGGAGAGCCCAGCUGGCCAGGCUCAGGCAGCAGAGCUUUGCAGAGUGCACAGCAAAGCAGUGCACAGUUACUAAUCUGUAGAUUGGAAGAAAUCUCAGAGUCCAGAGGGGUCUGUCAGCAGAAUGGUUGGAUGCUUUAGGAGCUGUGGGAGAAGCCAUGAAUAAGAUCUCGGGACACCAGUGAUGCCAGGCUCUGCUGGACUUGGGCUAAAUAACAUACUAGAUUCUUCCAUGUCAAAUUCCUUUGAAUCACAUUUGUUCUGCUUGGGUGGAUUAGUAAUGAGAUCAACAGUGUUUCAAUUAAACAAUGAAGAUAGACAUGAACUUGCACUGAAUUCCCUGGAUUUGUAAAAUACAAUAUGAAACAACACCUUCUUAAGACAAGACACAACUGAGAACAAAAGGGAUAGCUGAAAGAGCUGUUGACACUUGUAACAAGUAUUUGAGACAGCAGUAAGACACGGAGGCACCUUUUCUUGCCAAAAGCGCAACUUGGAUGGCAAACAAGUGAAUUUGGUACAUGCAGUUCCAAGUUUCAUAUAAGAAUGAAGCAUUGGGAAGGGAUCUGACCUCCUCCCAUUCAAGCAGUGUUUGAGUGAAGAUUGAAUUGAGGUUUCCAGCCCCUGGCUCAUGGUCAGAACGGCCCCACUGUGGGAAUUCCUACCUUCUCCACACUGUCUUUUCUCAUCAACAGCAGAAAUCUAGAUUUGUAUUUGAGAAUGCACCUCUACUAAUAGGACUGCUGGUUCUUACCAUGCAAAGGCUGGCUGAAAGAAUGCACUUCCCAGUAAAUAAAAUGAUCAUAGGAGAGCUUCAGAAAGGACAGAAAUGGUGCAGUUCAACUUGGGAUCAUUAUAUUUGAAAUCAACUAUCUGAAUGCUGUAUUCUACCUGUGUUUACGGUAAAAAUGUGUUUAGGAAGGACAUAAUUGCCAAUGGGAAAGAAAUGGCCUUCUCUGGCCAUGGUGGAGGGGAAGGUCAUCUAGCUGGACAGAAAUUCAUUGAAAACUUUAUUUCUUCACAUUUUAUAUAUAUAUAUAAAGACACAUUUUGCCAGACAAUGCUUCUGGCAAUGCAGAUCACACCUUGUUCACAGAAGUACUUGGUGUAUCACUCCCCUUCCUCUGCAACAGAGUAAGAUCCCUAUGCUAACCUAAGCAACUGCUUUGGUUUAGAACUAUUACUGGGAUAGCAGCUACUUUUUUUUUCCUUUCUUUAAGGAUGUUUUAUGUCUUCUUUAAGCAAGGUAAUUGAUCUCAACUUCUUCACUCUCAUCUGCUUUUCUUCUUCUCAGUGUUCUUUCCUAUAUGCCCAUUCUUCCUCACAUGUUGCACACUGAUCUGCUCCUCCCCUCCCAAUGAGCCCUCCAGGGCAAUGCUGUCCUUCAAGUGAGGGACCACUGUAAUUGCUGUGAUGUGGUAGCCCUGAUUUGGAGGUAGCUCUUGAGUUUCUGUCACCCCUCUUUUUUAAUAACAACCUCCUAAUAAUAACUCCUGGAUCUUUUGGCCCAGAGGCUCAUGGGUUUCCAGGCUACUGUGAAUUAGAAUUUAUUCUGAUCUGAUCCUCUAGCAUCACUGGAUUUUGAGGAGUCAUUACCUGCUAGUACCAGAAUUACAUUUAUACAAUAACUUGAUAAGAGCUACUUAUGCUAUGAUCAUGAGGACAGAGAGCGUGGGGAAAGCCUGGAUGUGCCUAUAAUGCAUGUCCAGAUAAGAUGCCACAGCUGUGGGACCCACACACAGCAGUACAGCACUGCAGGAUGGAGCAAGUUGCCCAGAGUUGUGGAUGCCCUCAUCCUGAAACUGUUCAAGGCCAGGCUGGAUGGGGCUUUGAAUAACCUGGUAGAGUGAAAGGCAUCUCUGCCUAUGGCACGGGGUUGGAAUUAGAUGAUCAUUAAAGCCCCUUCUGACCCGAAUCAUCCUGUGAUUCUCUGAUCCCAUUUAUAUCUCCAUGCUGAAGUAGCUCUCGUGUCUGUGUGAAGGAUAUACAGCUGAGCAAGAGCUGGCCAGCAGAAAGAGUAGCUGCCAUUUCUUCAUUUCAUUGCUUCAUUGCUCUGCAAUUUCACAAAAAUAGUGAUAGUAGUGUACAAUCUGCAGCAUGUCAGCUACAGCUGCAAAAUAAGUAAUUUAAAAAAAACCCUUAUGAUUACAUUUUAUUGAUAUUUGCUCCUUUCUGUUGUCACUAACAAUCCCCACCUUUGAGUUUUUCUACACAGCCCAUGAUUUUUUUCUUUUAAUGAACAUGCAGCAAUUGGGCAGAAACCAAUGAAAUAUUGUAGGCUCCUCCAGUCCCUGUUGCAAGUGUUGUGACACCGCCUCUGUCUCACUACAUUUUCAGGGAAACCUUUUGCCUUGGGAGCUUGCACAUCCUAUUGGUCUUAAUGGCAAACAGCCAGUCUGAUGGAUUAAUCCAGGCUGUGACAACUGAUAAGAGCUGGUGCUUGCAGGGAACCCAGGGUACUGGAGAUCUAAUACUUGAUAUGUCCUUUGCUGAGUUGGAGAUGUGCACAGACUGCUGGAUAUUUCCACUAGUGUGAUUAUAUUUUAAAUUUGACUUCUAAGUACUCAAAGUAAGCUAUUUUUACAGAGUUAUAUAUAUUUAAAUAGGCUUCUUUGAAGUGCCACUUUGUGGAAAGGGAGAGUGCAGGGCUAAUUAUGGUUGAGCACUAGCAUGUAUCCAAGGCCAUAACAUACCUGUAAUCUAACACAUGUAUCCGAUUUUUAAGGGCAGCAAACACAGACUCCUGGGAGCCUCCACCUUCCAUCCAGUCACUAGGUAGUUAAUUUUCUAGAUUUUAAGUUUUUGUCAUUUUCAUUUUCAAGUUCUUAAUGAAUUUAUACAAGUCAUAGAAUACUGAAAUGGGUGAGAUACUCCUUAAAAGGAAAGCCACUGCCACCAAGGCCUCUAACUAUUACAAAGUCAUGCUGUUUUUAAUGCAACAUUGAUGUGUAUGUCACACAAGCUGUUUUGUUGGAUUAGCCACAUGACUCACAUAGUAUAUCCUUUCCCUGACAGCAUUCAGCAGAGGAAGGGGCAAGAAAUGUCCUAAUCGUGUUUAGCUGAGGAUUGGGGUAAACCAUGACUGAUUUCAAAAUUUCAGUGUGUUGCAACUCUGAACACUGGUGUUUGUGUUCAUGCCCUUACCAACUCCUACAGAGUUCUAGCUAUUGGUAGUAUCUAUCAACUGGGAGUCCCACAGUUGAACUGUCCCUCAUGAGAAAGAACCUAACUUCAUGUCACUCCUAAAUAGGUCACAUUUUGAUUCCUUCAACUCUCCAUUCCAGCUUGCAUCAGGAGAGAGAUUAGAAAUCCACACUACACGUUUUCUGUAUAUUCAUUACCUGAUGCAUUUCUGUUACUCAUGUUUCUGUGCUUAAGCAGAAUUUUCUAUCUUCAGGCUUAUCCACCCUGAAGAUAAGCUGUUGUUAAGGAAGUUAGAGUGUGAAAUUGAAGGUUAGUAUCAUUUUGCAUAAACUUUUUGUGUGGCUACCCCUUCCCUGCACUUGGAGGGCUUUUUAGAAUGCAUUCCAGAAUGCUUCUCCUGCACACAGAGAGAAUGUUGUGAAGGUGCCAGCUUAUUCCCCACAGCUCAGAUCCUUUCCCACUAUACCUCAACAAGCAAGGCAGGUGUUCUGAGCCAGGUGCAAUGCACAGCAAUAUCAUCUGGGCAGGACAACCAUGUCCCCUGGCAAGCUCCACUUGUGCUACCCUUGUGCAAGCAGCCUCUCUGGAAGGUUGUUGAUGACCUCCCCCAAAGCCUCCUUUAAGCCCCUCUGACUCUAUUGUUCCUGAAAUAGGGUAAAGUGCUGUCAUUAUGUGCAUAUGCAUGGCUGGGCACAGUGCAAAGGAAAGGACAGAGAGGGUUGUAGGUAAAUAACUUGCCUGUGAUUUCACAAAUUAUGCAUAAUAUGGAAGAUUAAAGCAAUAAAAAAGGAGAACAGAAGGACAGAACUAUCCCUCCAUUUUUCAUGUCUGCAUUUGGUGGGCAGUCACAAAUGCUUUGGUGUUGUGAUUCAAGGAGAAUUUUUGUCAUAUGGGUUAGUUUGGAGGUAAUCUUGGUAUAAUUCCUUAGCUUUUAGAGCAAUAGUAUGUCCCAGGUGGAACUUUGCAGAGCUGUCAGUUUUAUUUGUUUGUUGGGUUGUUUUUUUUUUUAAAUUUACAGAUUAUCUGAACAUUUGAGCUACAAGAGCAAUGUAGAAAUAGUUUAUUCUGUAAUGUCUUUUCCCUUAAAGGCAAGCUCACAGAGUAAAAGGUCUCCCUGGCUCUGUGGAGGGCUGGCAGGAGUUUCUGAGUGAAGGCCAAAAAUAUGUUCUUGCAGCAGUGUUUCCAAACUGAUGGCACUACAACAGAGGCAGCUCCACUAGAGACGAAGCAAGCAAACCCACGCUUUGGCAGGAUGGGGAGUUCUGCCUGCCUAGAUGUAAGGGUAGCUGUCAUCUUUUCAGUUUUAUUUGUCUUUGCCUAAGGCACUGAAAGGAAUUAUGUUCAUACGGUAAAUAAAAAUAGUCCAGGUAAAAAUAUCCUAUGUCUUUAUCCUCUCACUUUUAUCUUACCCAAGAGUUAUCUGCAUCACUUGGGUAAGCUGAUACUCUCUGAACACAGCACAAGCCCUAUAUAGUAUUGGGUGCUGUGACUAAUUACUGGGUAGUUACAAGUGCUGGAAAGAGCAAGGAAGAAGACAAACCUCCUGAACUUUCCACUGUUUUUAGUCUUGCUUUAGCUGCCGUGGGUUUAGCACUCCUUUCAGCUGGGGCCAAGAAGAGGUUUCAAAUGACUGGUGUAAAUGGACUAAAAUUUCAGGGUAGCACAUGCCUGGGAGGACAUUCUCUUCUACCUAGCUAAUUCCCAAAAUAUAAUCAGCAGGCAUCGGCUGAGCUGAGGGAGCCUCUCACUUGUACCGUGCUUUACCCUGCUGGUUGACCUAGUUGCUGAUGCAGGGAGUUACACACAAAGCCAAGCCUGUUAAGUGACUGCAGAUUUCUUCGCACAAACAAGCAAACAAGAAAUUAAAGAAAAGCUUCAGCAAUGCUGAUAAGCUUGUAGGGGCACUUAGGGCUUGUUUGUUUGGUUUGGGAUUCAGUUUGGCCUUUCUUUGAACCCAGCUAAGAUGGAAAGCUGUAGUAAGCUUCAGUGCAGCACACGAGGCCAGAGGAGGCCAGAAGCAGCUGCAGCUCCCUGGCCAUUUGGGGCUUGCAAGAGCAUACACAGCGUCUGUCCUGCUCUGUAUGUCGUGUUCCCCAACGCCCUGGAAGUGUUUGCUCUGUCAUGCUGGUGUCAAAGAGAUAAAAGGAAAGAUUGAAACCAUCUGUGCUAUAACACACCCUAGUCAAAGGUGUCACAGGGUUUCUGUGAGACGAGCAACGUCACUGACUGACGUUUCCAUGUCUGCCUACCCAUGAUUAUCAUAUCACUGAACAUGAAAGAGACUUUGAGGAACUUUGAAGGGGAAUUGCAGUGGAAAAGUGUGUAGCAAUUUGCAAACAGUUGCUUGGCAAGGACUACAUCAUCCUUAAAAGAUCAUUUAACUGCUGUUCUAAAUCCUUUUCACUCCUAAAAGCACACAAAUAAAGAAAUGCAAAUACGGUUUGUACUAGCCACAUAUGUUUUAGGACUAUAUUUAAACACCAUGUAAGUGUUCUGGGGUGGAUUUAGAAAUAAUUUCAGUAAUUUUAGAAAUUUUUUUUCAAUAAUUAAAUUUUGCUUUUAGUACCAGGCAUUUAGUACCAUGAAGUGCAGAAGAUUAUGGUAAUGUAUGAUGAUGUUGGAGAAGUGAAGCUUGCUCCUGUAGGAAGCCCUUAUCCCUGUAACACUGAUAUGCAGGAACUGUUUUUAUGUUCUACUUUGAAAGAUUAUUUGUGAACACUUUAAGAACUGAAGACAGGGUUUAUGAUGCCCAGAGAGAAGACAGUUCAUGGCUCAGUGGUGCUGCUGCUCAAAGAGCCAGGUACUUUACUGGGUCAUUUGUUGCUCUGACCUUUUUCAGAAUUUUUCAUCAGAAUUUCAGAGUAUUUUCAUCGGGUGUUUUUCUUAUUUUUAAUACAUCUUCAGGCAGGGAGAAGUGACUUCAUAAUUUUGUUUUAUUAAAAAGAAGGACCAUGAAUUUUCCUUCUCAGUUUUACUGUAUCUAUGAGGAUAAUAAUGUGUAUUCACUGUGGUACAUGUAGAAGACUACAGCUCGUGGAUUACAUUCAGGGCUGUGAUGCUUGCUUUAGAUGUGUAACUGCAGUAAGACAGAGGCAAACAAAGCUGAUCUGCAUAUAAAAUAUUCUUUUAAUGAAAGAGCACAUGAAGGUAGACAGAUCUUGCUGUUACAGCUACAUUUUUAGGGUCCUAAAGACAAUCACAGACUCUUUCAGCAACAUUUUUGUGAGAUGUGAAUGGUCUAGAAACCUACACCUAGCUCUUCCUACAAAAGAUGCUAGCAUGGAUGAAAUUGUGGAAAAAAUCUCAUCACCAGCAGCACAAAGGAAAAUCUCAUCACCAGCAGCACAAAGGAACACCCCAGAACUGCUUUUCAUUUAUAAUAUAUUGCACUGCAUAAACAUUAAUGAGCCAUGGGUGUUAGAACCAAACCUUCUAAACCAGAUCCAGCAGCCACAGAUGUUACCAUGGUAGUGUUUCCACCACUUCCAAGUGGUCUUCUUGAGCAGCUCCACCGUGUUGGCUCUUGUUCAGAGCCUGAGGCCUUAACUUGGUCCCACAGACCUUUCUUUUCCUACACAGCUGAUUACUGUUCUCUCCUACCCUUGUAACACAAUUGCACAAACACAGCUAAGGUUUGCACUCUCCAUGACAGCGCUGUCAACAAAACGUCUCUUGGCACGGUUUUUGAGCUGAAUGCUCAGAGAUCUGUACUGCAGCAAGAUCCCAAGGGCUGUGGUCACUGUCCCAGGCCUGGCAGUGGGAAAGAUGACUUUGUACAAUGCUUUUAGGUGUAAGAUUUACCUUUUAGUCUGCCCUUUGGUGGGAGUUGGAUUUAAUGAUCUUCUUGAGUUCCUCCCAACUCAGAAUAUUGUGUGAUUCUAAGUUUCUAGUGUUUUCUACUUUUCCCACUUCUUGAUAUGUGACUACGAGAAUAUUAGCGCAACUGUUUGGUGAAAACUUUUGAGAUCACUGGCUGAAAGAAAUAAGAAUAGAAGAGGACUUAGCCCUUUUUUCUUAGUUUUUAAUUAAACACAAAAAACAAAUAAUGUUGCUCACUUACUAUGCAAUAGAAGAAUCAUCUGUCGGAGAAGGACAAAGAAGCUAAUUUGCAAACUCAAGCUGUCCUUCAGUGCAUGUUACUACGGCUGGUAGGAUAUAAUGUCUCCAGUGCUGUUGUCACUUUAUCCUGACAUGGAAUUCUUACUCAGCUGAAAGUGUUAGUAACUGAUCAAUGGCCUGCUAGAGCCUGGAUGUGAGCUGCUGUUUGCUGGAUGAGUACAAAGUGCCAGGAGUAGCAGCUGGCCAAGGGCUGGCAGUAGGAAGAGGUGUCCCUCCAUCUGUAAAGAAAAUCCUAAGUCAUAAAUGAAUCAAACUAGAACUAUUACACUACCUUAUACAAUGUUUUUAGAAGGACAUUUGUUCUAAUAUAUUGUGAACCUGGAAGUCUCUUUUUCUCUCCUCCCACUCCCCUGAAAAUAUGUAUUAAAGCAUAAAAAAAAUGUGGCUGCUUGUACUUUUUCUAUUUGCAGAGUUAAUUUCUAAAGUGAUUCUCCUUACUGCAAGAUCUAACUAGAGGGUACUUAACUUUGCACCUCCAGUGAUGAAACAGGCACUGUUUGAUUUAUGGGAGUAGGCAACUGCAGGGUUUAGGUUUCUUCCUAACAGCUCAGUAGCUGCAUUACAAAAGACCAUCACUUAUACUAUCCAUGUUUCCAUGGUCUAAAUAUCACCAAAGCAUGUAGAGCACAAGCAUCUGGGCCUAACAGUGUCAGAGAAGCUCCUUUAUCUCACUGUUUGCAAUGCAUAAGAAAAGCCCAGUCAUGGUAAAAUGCUCAUUGCUGCAAAUUAUGUUUUAAGCACAAUUGACAUUCCAAGCUCAAAUCUGGAAAAAAAUUCAAGGAAGGAUUCCUGUCCAGGGGUUCUUUGAAUUAAUUAAUUGAUUAAUUGUGCAUCAUUGUAGCC